This 468-nucleotide ribosomal RNA is filed under the name uncultured bacterium. RNAcentral describes it as "partial 16S ribosomal RNA". It matches the Rfam family "Bacterial small subunit ribosomal RNA", at positions 28 to 507 of the family's 1533-position model. The record is from RNAcentral.
GACGAACGCUGGCGGCGUGCUUAACACAUGCAAGUCGAACGGAAAGGCCCUGCUUUUGUGGGGUGCUCGAGUGGCGAACGGGUGAGUAACACGUGAGUAACCUGCCCUUGACUUUGGGAUAACUUCAGGAAACUGGGGCUAAUACCGGAUAGGAGCUCCUGCUGCAUGGUGGGGGUUGGAAAGUUUCGGCGGUUGGGGAUGGACUCGCGGCUUAUCAGCUUGUUGGUGGGGUAGUGGCUUACCAAGGCUUUGACGGGUAGCCGGCCUGAGAGGGUGACCGGCCACCUUGGGACUGCGAGACGGCGCAAUCUCCUACGGGCGGCAGCAGUCGGGAAUAUUGCACAAUGGGCGGACGCCUGAUGCAGCAACGCCGCGUGCGGGAUGACGGCCUUCGGGUUGUAAACCGCUUUCGCCUGUGACGAAGCGUGAGUGACGGUAAUGGGUAAAGAAGCACCGGCUAACUACGUG